ACUCCUACGGGAGGCAGCAGUGGGGGAAUAUUGCACAAUGGGCGCAAGCCUGAUGCAGCCAUGCCGCGUGUAUGAAGAAGGCCUCGGUUGUAAAGUAACUUUCUAGCAGUGAGGAAGGUGGGUAGUGUUAAUAGUCAUAUUCAUUUGUACGUUAGUCUGCAGAAGAAGCACCGGCUAACUCCGUGCCAGCAGCCGCGGUAAUACGGAGGGUGCGAGCGUAAUCGGAAUUACUGGCGUAAAGCGCAUGCAGGUGGUUUGUUAAGUUCAGAUGUGAAAGCCCGGGGCGUCAACCUCGGAAUUGCAUUUGAAACUGGCAAACUAGAGUACUGUAGAGGGGGUAGGAAUUUCAGGUGUAGCGGUGAAAUGCGUAGAGAUCUGAAGGAAUACCGGUGGCGAAGGCGGCCCCCCGUGG
Molecule: ribosomal RNA, 412 nt
Filed under: uncultured bacterium
Lineage: Bacteria
Description: bacterial SSU rRNA
Rfam family: Bacterial small subunit ribosomal RNA
Source: RNAcentral